RNAcentral lists this transfer-messenger RNA (337 nucleotides) under Hyphomonas sp. TMED17. RNAcentral's name for it is "transfer-messenger RNA, SsrA". It matches the Rfam family "Alphaproteobacteria transfer-messenger RNA". From Rfam's summary of the family: Bacterial tmRNA, also known as 10Sa RNA or SsrA, is named for its dual tRNA and mRNA-like properties. The record is from RNAcentral. Lineage: Bacteria; Pseudomonadati; Pseudomonadota; Alphaproteobacteria; Hyphomonadales; Hyphomonadaceae.
AAAUGCGCUAUAAUGGGGUGUUCCUUGGAACUAUAGCAAUAAACGCGCGUGUAAUAAGCGGCUCGGACCCGGGGGCGGUACCCGGCGGCUCCACCAAAACGUCUUCAUUAGAGACCAGCAGGGGGCCGAAAUAGGAUCGACGGACGUGUAAAAGCGAUGCCUUUGCUCGGAUGAGCUCCGUUAGAAGCUCACAUCAGAAUAGUUGCUAAUGACAACUUUGCUGAAGGUGAACUGCUCGCAGCCUAGUCUGCGCGUGGAUUACCGACUUAAGCCCUUAAGCAUCAGCGCUUAAGGCGGGGCCCGGAGGCGCCUGGCAACAGAAGCCUCCAUUUUCAUG